Gallus gallus (chicken) is the source of this 4532-nucleotide long non-coding RNA. RefSeq lists it as uncharacterized. The transcript is spliced from 2 exons. The record is from RefSeq and is a predicted model, not a curated record. Lineage: Eukaryota; Metazoa; Chordata; Aves; Galliformes; Phasianidae.
CCUGUAGUUAAAUGGGAGAGAAGACAGUAGGGUAGGUAAGAUGCAUAAUAAGAGGUUCCAAAAAGAACUGUUUCAGAGUAGCACAAGGCUACUCUUUGAAGGAUUAUCUGUGUUUGUAUUCCUCUUCAGAGAUUUUCUUGCUUUCAUGUGCUCCAACAUUAGGCAUGAUGCUAAAUUUACAGAGCAAAUUAUACAGUGGUCUUGAAAAAAAUUACAGAACUAAGAAUUUGCAUGUAUAAAGAUGGAUGUAAAGCAGAGUUUCAGAUCAAAGUAAUCCCUGGAAAGGGGAUGAUCGUGCAUGCCUUAAUUCAUGAAACUGCAGCACAGCUUUUGCUUUGGAAUAAGAUAUUUAGUGCAAGUCGUCAAAAGCCCUUUUAUCAAAUUUCUUUUUGAUUUUAUUUAAAAUUCACUCUUUUAAAACGCCUCCUUUUAACUAGAAAUCCUCAUAUCAAGUUUAUGGAAUUUGCGAUUUCCACUUUUCAAGAGGGAUCAUUUUCUGUAGAAUCCCUUUGCAUUCCUCAUGUUUCCUUCCCUUACCUUCUAAUUGACAGAUAUUGGGAUGGGGGUAGAAUCGAGGAAAGCUCGUGGGCUGGCUCUCCAAGUAUCAAAGCAGAGAAUCAGAACCUGGCUUGGAGAAAGAUUGAUGGAUUAUGUCUUCACCAGUUAUUGCAAUUCUGUUUUGGAUUUUAUUUUAUUUAUGAAAGAGAAUGGAGAAAUAAUUUAGAUUCAUUGCUUUCAAUCAAGAAGUAUGGACAACUUUAUUUCCCACUUGUUUACUUCCAGGGCAGCCUUCCCUGAUGGGGAAUGCAAUCCUCAUACAAAAUGGCUAGUAUCAUAUCUACUGUUGUUACAAAUCAUGCCAGAAGCAUUUUAAGAAAUCUCUCCACAGCAUGCAAAUAGCAUACUCUAAUAAGGUUUCAACUAUUUCAACUAUUCAUUUACAUAAAAAUCUCUAACACUGCAUAUGCAUAUUUUCUGUAAAUACAUCUGAAUAAAGCUUUUGCUGACUCGAAUGAGGUAUAAUUUAUAUCAUAAAUGUGACAGGAAGGGUGUUGAUUCAGGUCCUAUUCUUAAAGUAAGUUGAAUACCAAGUGCCCCAGCUCUACUUAGCAUGCAAAUCACAAGACUGAUCUUGAACGACUGCUGCUCAAGGUAGAGGACGUUUGUCCUUUUGCUGCCAGGAUGUUAUAGAGAUGGCAGUGCCUUGGAUGACAGGAGGAAAACUGCUGGAGCCAUCUGCUAAUAAUACAGCAAUGGGCAGAAAUCACUCCGAACUCCUGUUUGUGCUCUGCACUUUACACAUGAACGUGUGUGUGUGCUCACAAACAGAACAGAACAAAGUGUGACUCCAGAAGGACUUUCACUCAGAAGAGGUGGAAUUACAGAGUGAGCUGGACAACGGCUCAGGGGCAGGGGAUUCCUGCUACAAAACCUGGAGUCAAAAUUGAACACAAAAACUUGAGUUCCUUCAUAGAUUUUGUUAAAUCAGAACUUCAUUUUACCUCUCAUAUGCUGUUCAAACACUGCUCGUGGCUCUUUCUUCUCCAUGGCAUAGAUGCAGCCCUGAGCAGGGAGAAGGGCAACAAGGUGCCCUCCCUUCAAGAAGUCAAAGGCAGACUGAGAAACUAAACUUGUAUGUCUGGAAUCUUAUUUCCGUGGCUUUGAAACACCCUUCCUCAAAAAUAUUUUUUUUGUUUUAAUGGACCAAACAGUGUCAUAGCAUAUUGUCAUUGCUGUGAUUUAAAGCUCACUAGACUAAUAAAUCCAGCUGAAUAUAAAAUGAAAAACUGGUGUCUUGCAUGUAAGUCACACUGAACAACUCUGUUAUGAGGUGAAAUUAGAUAUCUUGAGAGUAGUAAUCAUGCACAUAUAUAUAUAUAUUUUUUUAAGAAAAGGGAAUGUGUUACACAGAGGAUCUUGCAUCCUUCUCAUCCUUCCCUCUGAGUUGAAUAAUUAUAGAGAGCAUAUGCAGAAUGCGAAAAUCCGUGGUUAAGGAUGCCGAAAACCAGGAAACCUCUUGAUGCACAGCAGAAUAAUUAUCUUGACCUCUUCUCCUUUGGAGAACAAGCCAAAAGAUAUCUGGCUGUGGGAGCUAGGGUGUUCUCCAGGAGGCUCCUCAGAGUCCCUGUGCCAGGGACCGAUGCUGUGCUGUUCCACUGAGCCGCCUGCAACACUGCCACUCCUGUCUGACUCUAGACUCUAUUACCCUACGGUAAUAUGGGCUCUGUCUCAAAAGCCUGCUCCUCUUCACCUCCUUACCUGGGCAGGCACAGUCUGACAGCCUCAAGCCGUCAACAUCACCCAGACUAUUAUCAUAAGGCUACAGCCCCAGCAAUUUCUUUAGACUUGGCCCCGUAAUGUGGCCCUUUUUUCCAGUAGGUGCCUUAAUCUCUCCCAUUUCAAGACCUCGUACUAUAAAUAAGUUCCUUUAAGAAUAAGUUUGUCAGCAUCCUGGAGGACUGAAAACUACCCUCAUUCGUGUGUUACUGCUGUUACAGCCCUAAUAGCUGCGUGGAGCCCAGUGUCCCUGCCUCGCCUGGUUGUGGGAGCAGAGCAGAGUGUGUUUUGGGGCAGUGAGUUCUUGGCAUCACCAUUGUGAAUUCAUAAUGAUGUGAGAGCCACACUGUUGUGCUGUUUAUUCUUUAAACACUUUGAAAUUAAGCAUGGGGUUCUAAUGAGAAAAACAAAUAAACAAAAAAAACCCACAACAUUGUAAAUUCUUUUUAGAUUUCAAUUUGUGGAAGACUAAAAUCCAGCCAUAAACUGUUGUUCCCUUUCCUCUGCCCUUAAUCUUUGUACUAUCUGCCCUAUAAAAGGUAUAUUCUUGUGUCCUACUGCAGCACUGUUAUCACUCUCCUGUGUUUUACUGUCAAAAAUGUAAAAAUGCAUUGAAUAAAACCUUGUAAAACUAAGACAAGGGUAUUCUGUAGUUUGGGAUUUAGCACUGGAAUGUGAAAUAAUCUGCAAAUAGAAGGGGAACAUUAUCUCUGGUCCUUAUCUCUCUCUAGGUCGAAUCAAGGCAACUGUUUACCUGUCCUAUCAGCAGAAAUGAUGUGACUGCAGACUCCUCAUUUUCAGUGAGCUCUCCUCACUCCCUGGCAGCCUGGUCUGAGCCUCAGGUCUGCAGUUUAGAGCCAAGCCCAUAAUCAGAACUGUUGACUGUUGUGACAUUUGUAUGAAACUCGUUGCUUAAUGCUUGUAGCAGGAAGGACAAGAGACCUGAGAUAUUUAUGUCACUACCAGACACUAAGUAGCCACCAGACUGUCAGAUAACUGGCAGAACAUGAACACAAUGCAGAGAAAUUAGUUGCUAUUGCUCUUAGCAGAGCUGUUCUCUAUUGCGGUGGGAAUAUGUUCUGUUAUUUCAUGAACAUUUAUUUUGCUUUUCUUGGAGGGAGAAUUAAACAUCUGUUUUCUGCUGUGAAAUGUAACUGCAAGGAAAUAACCUGAAUAGCUGGAUUGUAAGUAAGUGAAUUUUUGAGGCCAGUAUCCAACACUAGCCAGAAAUUAUCUUCUCUGAUGCACUGUACAUUUUCAGUGCAGCUCCGCAUUGCAUAUUCAUCGCCACUUGGCUGCACCAAUCUCCAAUUAAUGGGAGCUCCACACAGCAGAUGAGUAAAGAUGACAUUUACAUGACGUGAUGUGCAUAUAAUGUACCACAUGGCAAGUCAGGGGACAUUCGUGAUCUGGGCAAGCCAGGUUUCUCCUUUGCUAUUAAAAUGACACAAUCUCCAACAAUUUAUAUUUUCCAUUCUUUGGAACAUAAGAAGUGCUAAUCCGCAAUGCUAAAAAAAUUAUGAAUCAGUUUCUCUGUUCUGCCAAAGCCAAAAUAAAAAUUAUUUAAGCAUGAAGUUUUAAGAAUAACACACUGUGGAUUCUCCUGUUUUAGGCCCUCUCAGUACAGUCAUAACCAAAAGAAAAUUACACUCAAAUAAACAGAAGAUGAGAUUCUGGAGACUCUCAGAUCUGCAGAAGCUAUCUGGACACACUGGCAGUGCCUGAAUUGACUCUGCAUGAAGGUUGUGAAGGACUUGAACCUGUUGCAUCCCUAUGGCCUGAGCAAGAAAGGCAGAUUUACUGUGAGGAUCGAUGUAUGUGCAGAGAAAAGGAGGACUGUGCUUUUUUCAAAAGAUGCCACUAAAGAAAAGACUUAUUAUUUUCCUUUUUUUUUUUUUUUUCUGUGCAUCUUCUUUAACUUACCUAACUAAACAGGUUUGUUAAAUAACUAUGGAUUAAAAAUUAAUCACACUAUUCCAAUACCUAUUACAUGAAGAUCUGAUGAACACCAGUGAAUACUCUAGGGAUGCAUAAAAUGGGUAUUUAGUCUAAAAUAGUUGUGAAUAAUCUCUUAACGAAAGCAGUUUCUAUGAGAGAAGAAACAUACAUCCCUUGAAGAAGGGAGAGAUGUUUAGAGGAUUAGAAUAAAAUCAUCUUCUCCCUGAAAAAUGGAAUUAUGCUCACAGUAUUAAAAUCUAUGUAGAAAUGUAUGAAAGACAUGUUAAGAAUAAAAGCAAAUAAACAGAUUUAAUAAA